RNAcentral lists this ribosomal RNA (390 nucleotides) under uncultured crenarchaeote. RNAcentral's name for it is "bacterial SSU rRNA". It matches the Rfam family "Archaeal small subunit ribosomal RNA", at positions 468 to 858 of the family's 1478-position model. The record is from RNAcentral. Lineage: Archaea; Thermoproteati; Thermoproteota.
CGGUAAAACCAGCACCUCAAGUGGUCAGGAUGAUUAUUGGGCCUAAAGCAUCCGUAGCCGGCUCUGUAAGUUUUCGGUUAAAUCUGUACGCUCAACGUACAGGCUGCCGGGAAUACUGCAGAGCUAGGGAGUGGGAGAGGUAGACGGUACUCGGUAGGAAGGGGUAAAAUCCUUUGAUCUAUUGAUGACCACCUGUGGCGAAGGCGGUCUACCAGAACACGUCCGACGGUGAGGGAUGAAAGCUGGGGGAGCAAACCGGAUUAGAUACCCGGGUAGUCCCAGCUGUAAACUAUGCAAACUCAGUGAUGCAUUGGCUUGUGGCCAAUGCAGUGCUGCAGGGAAGCCGUUAAGUUUGCCGCCUGGGAAGUACGUACGCAAGUAUGAAACUUA